AGGAACAGCAGGAGAGACAGGACAGGUCCGCUGCACCACAUGGAUCAGCCUCCAGGCUGGUGGAUUGAUUUCAAGCAAUCGUGAUAGCGCUGAGACUGCAGCCCUACAUCACCAGGAGCUGUCCCCCCUUUUAGAUGUCAUCCCACCACUGUGUCCCUAUCCUGUGCUCCCUGCUCUCCCAUCCUCCAGCUUCAUGUGUCCAAGUGUCCCAGCCUCAGGCUUUGAGAUGGUUGGCUGCCUGGCAGAAGAGCACUGAGAUUUUUGAAAACUGUCCUGAACCUGCAAGGUCUCCAGGUGAUAGGUGACAGAGAAGAGCAUGAUGGGAUGGGUGCUUGGAGAAGUCAAGAGCAGCGCCUUGAUUCCCCUCCAAAAGUGCCUCCCUCUGGUACUGCAGCCUUACCUGGCUCCCACCUGCCCUAACAUGGCUAAGAGAAUGGUGAAGGCUGCUUUCUUCUUGUGCAUAGUCCAACUGGAAUGGCCUGAGACAGAAUCCUUGCCUCACUUCUCCAUCAGCCCCUGCAGACUCAUUCCCAGGGCUUGGAGCACAAGAGCAGGACAGUAUCCCUGCUGAGAACCAGUCACAAGCCCAAGAAGUGCGUGCUGAGCUGAUGGGUGGUGCUCACCCAAGAGCAGGGAGCAAGGGUGAAAAUUAUCAUGUCUGAAAACCAGGGCCCAGAAGGAAGAGCUUGUAAAACAUCCAACUGAUUCAACUACAUUGAAACCAGGGCAACCCUUGCCCCACCCCAGCUUCUACUCAGAACUACAGCAGGAACUUGGGCAACAAAAUUGAAGUCCAGGUGUAGGGAUUGGCCACAGAUUUUGUAUGUGGAGAGGACCUCCAUAGCUGAGGUCCAGAAGUGCGUGACUACUCAAGACCGUGACUACUCAAGACCAUAGUGGCAGGAGCCUCUGGGAUCCCUCAGCCCUGGGGCUUUUCACUGAGGCCUCCUCAGGAGUAAAUACUCCACUCCCAGCCGAAGGCAACAUGCUGUUACUGUUGCGCAAAGCACAGACAGCCCUUGCAGCUAAGGGCUGUGGAGGCCGAGUUCCAUCUAUAAUUCAGCAGCCCAGGUGGAGAGGAAUGAUCUAUGCCCAUCUGCCUCUGGGGCUUCCAGACGGUCAAAACGGGGUUGGUUUCCUUAAUCCUGGCCAUGCAGCUUCAGCCACCCUAUUUAAUGAGUCAGUACCUGCCCUAGACUGGAAGUUAGUGCUGGGCUAUUGAGCUCAACUUCUAUUUCUCUGCUCACUGGACAAACCUCUUGGAUCUACUUCUUUAUCAAUGACCUGGGCAAAAUCCUUCCUUCCCUGAAGGACCUGGAGAGUUAAAUGUUUUGCCUUUGAUUCACCAACUGAAAAGAACUGAAGGUUUCUAUAAAGAGGAACGUGUCAUCAGAUUCUCACAAGCAUUUACCAUCAUGAAAUACGCUCCCAGGAGGAACAGUGUGACCCACUUGGCUGAGCCAGGUCAAACAGGAGUGAACAUCUUAAGAAACUUGAGCACCUCGGGCCCUGCUACUACUGCUCAGGUUCCAGCCUAGUUUUUUUCUCUGGUCUCCUUCCCUGGGCUCAAGUUCUCAACUGUGGGUCUGAAGAAUGGUGCUGACCCUAGAGUCCUUCCCCCUCCAAGGCGCUCAUAAGCUUAUUUGGGUUUCUUCCUGCUCUGCACAAGGAUCACCCUCCAUAGUACAGGGGAAAACUGCCCAGACCAGGGUGGCCAAUUCCUCAGGCACAAUGAUACAUGCCCCUGAAGCAAGAGGCUGCAGAGGUGAGGGGCAGGGCCUGCAAGACAACUGCUGACAUUCUGUGCCGUCAGUCCAGCCUAGCCGAGUUUUGCUGCUCCUCACCUGAGGUGUUCUGACAGGCCCACAGGCAUCACCAGUCAGGGGCUGGGCUUGAAUUUGAGUUAAAAAAGUCACAGAAGAAAAGUGACUAGGAGACAGAAGGAUUGAACAGGAAAAAGAUCAAAGUAAGGACCAGAAUCCCACAAGGGUCUUGGCCCCUCCUUGAUGGCUCAGGGGUUAAAGAAACAGCGCUAUUAAGAUAUAGCCAGCCACCGCAGCACGAGUUCAAUCCCCAGCCAGGGAUCUGACCCACAUGGCACAGUUGACCUAUCUCACCGUGGAUCCCCUCAGCAGCAUGUCUCAGUCAAUCUGCCUAUUCUGCUCCCCACUCUGUCUGGUGAA
Molecule: long non-coding RNA, 2183 nt
Organism: Condylura cristata (star-nosed mole)
Lineage: Eukaryota; Metazoa; Chordata; Mammalia; Eulipotyphla; Talpidae
Exons: 3
Source: RefSeq, a predicted model, not a curated record